AGAGUUUGAUCCUGGCUCAGGAUGAACGCUGGCGGCGUGCCUAACACAUGCAAGUCGAACGAGAACCCAUUCUUCGGAUUGGGGGACAGUGGCGGACGGGUGAGUAACGCGUUGGUGACCUGCCCCGAAGCGGGGGACAACUACGGGAAACCGUGGCUAAUACCGCAUAUGCUCUAGGGGGUUAGAUGCCCCUAGAGUAAAACUCCGGUGCUUCGGGAGGGGCCUGCGACCUAUCAGCUAGUUGGUGGGGUAAUAGCCUACCAAGGCUAAGACGGGUAGGGGGCGUGAGAGCGUGGCCCCCCACAAUGGAACUGAGACACGGUCCAUACUCCUACGGGAGGCAGCAGUGAGGGAUAUUGCGCAAUGGGGGAAACCCUGACGCAGCAACGCCGCGUGGGUGAUGAAGGCCUUCGGGUCGUAAAACCCUUUUCUGGGGGAAGAGAAAGGACGGUACCUCAGGAAUAAGUCCCGGCUAACUACGUGCCAGCAGCCGCGGUAAAACGUAGGGGGCAAGCGUUAUCCGGAUUUACUGGGCGUAAAGCGCGUGCAGGCGGCUUGGUAGGUUGGACGUGAAAGCUCUCGGCUCAACUGAGAGAGGCCGUUCAAUACCGCCAGGCUCGAGGUCGGAAGGGGGGAGUGGAAUUCCCGGUGUAGUGGUGGAAUGCGUAGAUAUCGGGAGGAACACCCGUGGCGAAGGCGGCUCCCUGGUCCGUACCUGACGCUAAGGCGCGAAAGCGUGGGGAGCGAACGGGAUUAGAUACCCCGGUAGUCCACGCUGUAAACGAUGGAUGCUAGGUGUAGGUGGUAUUGACCCCAUCUGUGCCGUAGCUAACGCGAUAAGCAUCCCGCCUGGGGACUACGGCCGCAAGGUUAAAACUCAAAGGAAUUGACGGGGGCCCGCACAAGCAGCGGAGCGUGUGGUUUAAUUCGAUGCUACGCGAAGAACCUUACCUGGGCUUGACAUGCACGUAGUAGUGAAGCGAAAGUGGACGACCCUUUCGGGGAGCGGUGCCACAGGUGCUGCAUGCUGUCGUCAGCUCGUGUCGGGAGAUGUUGGGUAGUCCGCACGAGCGCAUCCCUCGCUGUAGUUAUACCUGUCUACCGGGACUGCGAUAAACGAGAGGUGGAUGACGUCAGUCACAUGCUUAUGUCCAGCUAACACACGCUUACAAUGUCGUCAGAUGGGGCGUGUCCACACC
This 1199-nucleotide ribosomal RNA is filed under the name uncultured bacterium. Its description in RNAcentral is "bacterial SSU rRNA". It matches the Rfam family "Bacterial small subunit ribosomal RNA", at positions 8 to 1264 of the family's 1533-position model. The record is from RNAcentral.